UCAAAGUCCUUACCUGAUCCUUCAUCAUGAUGAUGGGUACUCUGUCCAUGGAGAAAUUUAAUGGAUGCAUUCUGCAAUGUUAUUUAAAGUUGUAGUCUCUGGAUUGGCAUUUAGCAUACUAUGUUCCGAUUGCCAUUUUAUUCUGACUACUUUUUUCACGUGGUUUCCCCCUUUUGGUAUCAUUGUUAUUUUUCAAUGGAAAAUGAUACUAUGCCAAACUUUGGAGGUUUUGCAUAACAUUACCACUCUAUUCGAGAACGACACAAGACUUAAUUUCAUCUUCACCCCGGUAACAAGCUUUUUCGGAAACUGCUUCAACCGGGUAACAAGCUUUCUCGGAAACUGCUGGAACAAUGUCGCCGGAAAUGAGAACCCAUGAGGAGAUAUUCUUCCGGUGCAAUCUCAGAGUCAUUAAAUACUGUUAUUUCCUUUUAUUGUUAUUUCUUUUUAUUGUUAUUUCCUUUGAAUGCAUUCUAUGCUGCUUUGACUCCUAUUUUUUGCUGACCAAUGAUGCCAGGAUGUAACCCUUUCUCAACUGUAAGCUACAAAAGGAAAAAGCUAUCAACAGAAAAAAUUCAGAGCUGAAAGUUAAUCUUGUAAAUAUAUUCAAA
This 611-nucleotide long non-coding RNA is filed under the name Cicer arietinum (chickpea). Its description in RNAcentral is "long non-coding RNA (CARI_LNC002638)". The record is from RNAcentral. Lineage: Eukaryota; Viridiplantae; Streptophyta; Magnoliopsida; Fabales; Fabaceae.